GNAGGGGGCAAGCGNUAUCCGGACUNACUGGGUGUAAAGGGAGCGUAGACGGCGAGGCAAGNCUGAUGUGAAAACCCGGGGCNCAACCCCGUGACUGCAUCGGAAACNGUUUUGCUUGAGUGCCGGAGAGGUAAGCGGAAUUCCUAGUGUAGCGGUGAAAUGCGUAGAUAUUAGGAGGAACACCAGUGGCGAAGGCGGCUUACUGGACGGCAACUGACGUUGAGGCUCGAAAGCGUGGGGAGCAAACAGGAUUNGAUACCCUGGUAGUCCACGCCGUAAACGAUGUUAACUAGUUGUUGGGAAGUAAAAUUUCUCAGUAACGCAGCCAACGCGAGAAGUUAACCGCCUGGGAAGU
This 355-nucleotide ribosomal RNA is filed under the name uncultured bacterium. Its description in RNAcentral is "bacterial SSU rRNA". It matches the Rfam family "Bacterial small subunit ribosomal RNA", at positions 527 to 881 of the family's 1533-position model. The record is from RNAcentral.